GGAAACUUAGCUCAGUUAGUAGAGUAUGAGACUCUAAAUAUCAGGGCUGUGGGUCUGAGUCCCACAUUGGGCAAAAGAUCCU
Molecule: non-coding RNA, 82 nt
Organism: Podarcis lilfordi (Lilford's wall lizard)
Lineage: Eukaryota; Metazoa; Chordata; Lepidosauria; Squamata; Lacertidae
Source: the annotation of a GenBank genome assembly